Rosa chinensis is the source of this 1220-nucleotide long non-coding RNA. RefSeq lists it as uncharacterized. The record is from RefSeq and is a predicted model, not a curated record. The transcript is spliced from 5 exons. NCBI's taxonomy places the organism in Eukaryota, Viridiplantae, Streptophyta, Magnoliopsida, Rosales, Rosaceae.
GGUUGAUGAGAGUUUUCUAAUUCAUUAGAAAGUGGCGUGUGUCUCUUUAGAGGUUGCUGCAGGAUCAGGCUCUCUCCAAAAAACAUCUCUUCAUCAAAACUGAUCAAUGAAUUGUUGCUUCCAUUUGUAGUGGGAACUAUAAGCUCUCCACUUGGAAUGGUUGCAGAUUUGGGCAAAGUUGGGUACAUGCUGAUCUGAUUGAAUUUGAGACGACUGCAAAUAAGCUAGAAGUAAAGCUAAGAAAUCUAGUCUGGCAUUGAUUAAAUUCUGCUUCAAGGUGAAGCGGCGGGUAUAGGCUGACCUCCUUGAGGAAGUAAAAGUUGGUUUUCUUUGUUUCUAAGUAUGGAAUUGGUGCUGUGAGUACUGCUUCUUGGAGUGUGCAUAUGUUGUAGAUUCAUGCGAGCAAGUUGGUGCUGUAAAUAUCAAAUGAACCCCACCUAGAUUUGUCCACUAAUAGAUUUUUCCUAUUUCAAAGUUGGAAGGUUACCAGCAAACAUACGGUGAUAUACCUUGAGAGUGGUGAGACUCUUAUGAUGGUUAGAGCAAGCAAUGGGCGUGAUUGCCUUGCCAUACACCAAUUAAUAUUCUGCUCCUUUUUCCUCCAACAACCUUAGUACCAAAAUAAGAUAUGAUAUACAUGAAUGUUGUCUAGUUGGGUGGUUGAUCAAGAGUUUAAAGCAGAUGUAGCCAUAGGCAAAUGGCAGGAUACUAGUGCUUCCCUGAUUGAGGCUCCAAAUAUCAUGGGGCCGAUAUCCAAGGCUUAAUUGAGUUCCAGAGACUGAUUUAUAUGCAUGUAUUUUCUAUCAUCUAAGAAUAUAAGCCUGUAUCUCUCUUUUCCUUGCUUUUGUAAUGCAGACUCUCGCAGGAAGGAAGUAGUAAAAAUAUAACUAUUUCAUCAGAGCAGGUGUUGUAUGCUGAGGUUGUUUAAAAAAUAGCAGUGGUUGUAAUGCCUAGCAAAAUCAAUAGAUAUUCAAAUAUUAAUUAGCUUAUUUUGUAGUGUCAUGAUACUGAUCCUACCUCAAGAGAGUUUAUGAGGUAGCUUAUGAGGUAGAUAUUCAAAUAUUAGUUAGCUUAUUUUGUAGCAUCCUGAUACAAUUUGCUUCUGCUCUAUCUCGAGGUGCACUAGCGGAAGCAAAUUUCACUUGUGUGUUCUUUUAGAGUGGUUUAGUUGAAUUCUGAAACUGAGUUGUAAAUAUUUGUAAUAUGAUGCUAAGAAUAAG